RNAcentral lists this ribosomal RNA (253 nucleotides) under uncultured bacterium. RNAcentral's name for it is "partial 16S ribosomal RNA". It matches the Rfam family "Bacterial small subunit ribosomal RNA", at positions 524 to 776 of the family's 1533-position model. The record is from RNAcentral.
UACGGAGGGUGCAAGCGUUAUCCGGAUUCACUGGGUUUAAAGGGUGCGUAGGCGGAUAGGUAAGUCCGUGGUGAAAUCCUGCAGCUUAACUGCAGAACUGCCGUGGAUACUAUCUAUCUUGAAUAUCGUGGAGGUUAGCGGAAUAUGUCAUGUAGCGGUGAAAUGCUUAGAUAUGACAUAGAACACCCAUUGCGAAGGCAGCUAACUACGCGAUAAUUGACGCUGAUGCACGAAAGCGUGGGGAUCAAACAGG